Molecule: ribosomal RNA, 423 nt
Filed under: uncultured Lachnospiraceae bacterium
Lineage: Bacteria; Bacillati; Bacillota; Clostridia; Lachnospirales; Lachnospiraceae
Description: bacterial SSU rRNA
Rfam family: Bacterial small subunit ribosomal RNA
Source: RNAcentral
UGGGGAAUAUUGGGACAAUGGGCGAAAGCCUGAUCCAGCGACGCCGCGUGAGCGAUGAAGUAUUUCGGUAUGUAAAGCUCUAUCAGCAGGGAAGAAAAUGACGGUACCUGACUAAGAAGCCCUGGCUAACUACGUGCCAGCAGCCGCGGUAAUACGUAGGGGGCAAGCGUUAUCCGGAUUUACUGGGUGUAAAGGGAGCGUAGACGGAAGUGCAAGUCAGAAGUGAAAGCCCGGGGCUUAACCCCGGGACUGCUUUUGAAACUGUGCAUCUAGAGUGCAGGAGAGGUAAGCGGAAUUCCUAGUGUAGCGGUGAAAUGCGUAGAUAUUAGGAGGAACACCGGUGGCGAAGGCGGCUUACUGGACUGUAACUGACGUUGAGGCUCGAAAGCGUGGGGAGCAAACAGGAUUAGAUACCCUGGUAGU